RNAcentral lists this ribosomal RNA (274 nucleotides) under uncultured bacterium. Its description in RNAcentral is "partial 16S ribosomal RNA". It matches the Rfam family "Bacterial small subunit ribosomal RNA", at positions 523 to 796 of the family's 1533-position model. The record is from RNAcentral.
ACACGGAGGGCGCAAGCGUUGCUCGGAAUCACUGGGCGUAAAGCGGGUGUAGGCGGUCUAGCAAGUCAGAUGUGAAAGCCCACGGCUCAACCGUGGAAGUGCAUCUGAAACUGCUAGACUUGAGUGCCGGAGAGGGAGGUGGAAUUCCUGGUGUAGGGGUGAAAUCCGUAGAUAUCAGGAGGAACACCGGUGGCGAAGGCGACUUCCUGGACGGCCACUGACGCUGAGACCCGAAAGCGUGGGGAGCAAACAGGAUUAGAAACCCCAGUAGUCC